Molecule: ribosomal RNA, 472 nt
Filed under: uncultured bacterium
Lineage: Bacteria
Description: bacterial SSU rRNA
Rfam family: Bacterial small subunit ribosomal RNA
Source: RNAcentral
UCGGGAAUUUUGGACAAUGGGCGCAAGCCUGAUCCAGCCAUGCCGCGUGAGUGAAGAAGGCCUUCGGGUUGUAAAGCUCUUUCGGCGGGGACGAAACGGUUCAUGCCAACGCCAUGGACUAAUGACGGUACUCGCAGAAGAAGCACCGGCUAACUACGUGCCAGCAGCCGCGGUAAUACGUAGGGUGCAGGCGUUAAUCGGAAUUACUGGGCGUAAAGCGUGCGCAGGCGGCUCCUUAAGUCAGAUGUGAAAUCCCCGGGCUUAACCUGGGAACUGCGUUUGAAACUGAGGGGCUUGAGUGUGGAAGAGGGGGGUGGAAUUCCAGGUGUAGCAGUGAAAUGCGUAGAUAUUGGGAAGAACACCAGUGGCGAAGGCGGCUAACUGGUCCGGUACUGACGCUGAGGUGCGAAAGCGUGGGGAGCAAACAGGAUUAGAUACCCAAGUAGUCCCUGAGCGGGCUGGCAAGGCGCAU